CUACAAUGGCGCAUACAAAGAGAAGCGACCUCGCGAGAGCAAGCGGACCUCAUAAAGUGCGUCGUAGUCCGGAUUGGAGUCUGCAACUCGACUCCAUGAAGUCGGAAUCGCUAGUAAUCGUGGAUCAGAAUGCCACGGUGAAUACGUUCCCGGGCCUUGUACACACCGCCCGUCACACCAUGGGAGUGGGUUGCAAAAGAAGUAGGUAGCUUAACCUUCGGGAGGGCGCUUACCACUUUGUGAUUCAUGACUGGGGUGAAGUCGUAACAAGGUAACCGUAGGGGAACCUGCGGUUGGAUCACCUCCUUACCUUAAAGAAGC
Molecule: ribosomal RNA, 321 nt
Filed under: Escherichia coli
Lineage: Bacteria; Pseudomonadati; Pseudomonadota; Gammaproteobacteria; Enterobacterales; Enterobacteriaceae
Also listed under: 2 other names
Description: partial 16S ribosomal RNA
Rfam family: Bacterial small subunit ribosomal RNA
Source: RNAcentral